RNAcentral lists this non-coding RNA (148 nucleotides) under Pan troglodytes (chimpanzee). The record is from Rfam by way of RNAcentral. Lineage: Eukaryota; Metazoa; Chordata; Mammalia; Primates; Hominidae.
GCUGGGCGUAGUAGCGCAUGCCUGUAGUCCCAGCUACUUGGGAGGCUGAGGCAGGAGAAUCGCUUGAACCUGGGAGACAGAGGUUGCAGUGAACCGAGAUCACAUCACUGCACUCCAGCCCAGGUGACAGAGCAAGACUCUGUCUCAA